CGGGUGAGUAACGCGUGGGUAACCUGCCUUAUACAGGGGGAUAACAGUUGGAAACGGCUGCUAAUACCGCAUAAGCGCACGGCAUCGCAUGAUGCAGUGUGAAAAACUCCGGUGGUAUAAGAUGGACCCGCGUUGGACUAGCUAGUUGGUGAGGUAACGGCCCACCAAGGCGACGAUCCAUAGCCGACCUGAGAGGGUGACCGGCCACAUUGGGACUGAGACACGGCCCAA
This 231-nucleotide ribosomal RNA is filed under the name uncultured bacterium. Its description in RNAcentral is "partial 16S ribosomal RNA". It matches the Rfam family "Bacterial small subunit ribosomal RNA", at positions 103 to 334 of the family's 1533-position model. The record is from RNAcentral.